Long non-coding RNA from Cucumis sativus (cucumber), 276 nucleotides. RefSeq lists it as uncharacterized. NCBI's taxonomy places the organism in Eukaryota, Viridiplantae, Streptophyta, Magnoliopsida, Cucurbitales, Cucurbitaceae. The record is from RefSeq and is a predicted model, not a curated record. The transcript is spliced from 3 exons.
UUUCCCCUCCUUUAGCCAACUGGAGAAUGGAUGUUCUGGUGUUUUCGUAAUGGUGUUUCUACUUGAUUUACAUCGUAAGCAGUUUUCUUUUUUCCAGGUUAAUCUUGUAAGAACUAAAGAAAACUUACCAAUAUCCGUUCUGCUUGCAAAGAUGAAAAUGUGAAGCUAUCUCCACCUCGACUUAGAUGAGUCUUGAAGAAGUGAUAAGAUAUGUUGCAUCUGAUGAACUUAUUAAGACCAUAUUGAAAAAAAAAUGCAGCAAAAUAGAAAGGAAAA